This 74-nucleotide non-coding RNA is filed under the name Morganella morganii. The record is from RNAcentral. RNAcentral also lists the same sequence under 1 other name. Lineage: Bacteria; Pseudomonadati; Pseudomonadota; Gammaproteobacteria; Enterobacterales; Morganellaceae.
UGGCAAACGACAUUGCUCACAUUGCUUCCAGUAUUUCGAAGUUUCUCAGCCAGCCAUCGCGCUGGCUUUUUUUU